GAUGUGGUUAAUGAUGCAGAUUCUUUUUUCCCCGUCUUAUCGACUAUGGUGAAAACCAACUUGAGAAAUAAGCCAAUGUUGUCUGAAACCACAUC
Small nucleolar RNA from Lampris incognitus (smalleye Pacific opah), 95 nucleotides. RefSeq annotates it as small nucleolar SNORD12/SNORD106. The transcript has a single exon. Lineage: Eukaryota; Metazoa; Chordata; Actinopteri; Lampriformes; Lampridae. The record is from RefSeq and is a predicted model, not a curated record.